This 490-nucleotide ribosomal RNA is filed under the name uncultured bacterium. RNAcentral describes it as "partial 16S ribosomal RNA". It matches the Rfam family "Bacterial small subunit ribosomal RNA", at positions 30 to 507 of the family's 1533-position model. The record is from RNAcentral.
AUUGAACGCUGGCGGCAGGCCUAACACAUGCAAGUCGAACGGUAACAGGAAGAAGCUUGCUUCUUUGCUGACGAGUGGCGGACGGGUGAGUAAUGUCUGGGAAACUGCCUGAUGGAGGGGGAUAACUACUGGAAACGGUAGCUAAUACCGCAUAACGUCGCAAGACCAAAAAGGGGGACCUUCGGGCCUCUUGCCAUCGGAUGUGCCCAGAUGGGAUUAGCUAGUAGGUGGGGUAACGGCUCACCUAGGCGACGAUCCCUAGCUGGUCUGAGAGGAUGACCGGCCACACUGGAACUGAGACACGGUCCAGACUCCUACGGGAGGCAGCAGUGGGGAAUAUUGCACAAUGGGCGCAAGCCUGAUGCAGCCAUGCCGCGUGUAUGAAGAAGGCCUUCGGGUUGUAAAGUACUUUCAGCGGGGAGGAAGGGAGUAAAGUUAAUACCUAUGCUCAUUGACGUUACCCGCAGAAGAAGCACCGGCUAACUCCGUG